Molecule: long non-coding RNA, 13519 nt
Filed under: Nicotiana benthamiana
Lineage: Eukaryota; Viridiplantae; Streptophyta; Magnoliopsida; Solanales; Solanaceae
Description: long non-coding RNA (NBEN_LNC016821)
Source: RNAcentral
GGCGAGGCAGAGGGAGGCCUAUAAGGUAUUGGGGAGAGGUGAUUAGGCGUGACAUGGCUAGAAUGCGGGUUUCCGAGAACAUGGCCCUUGAUAGGAAAGUCUGGAGGUCUAGUAUUAGGGUUAUAAGAUAGAGGCUCCUAAAGUUUUUCGUACUUCUCACCCGGGGUUAUGUGAGGCUUGCAGGCCUAUCCAUAGAUAAUUUGUGUAUUGGAUUGUGUCUCCAUUAUGGUAGUUAUUUAUGGUAGUUACUGUCUAUUAUUAUUGCAUGUUAUUUUAUUUAUGGUUCUUAUAUUUAGAUAAUUAUUUACGCUAUUUCUGCUGGAGUUACUAAUGCUCUUUUGUUUUUAUUUUUGUUUUUGUUUUUGUUUUUCAUUUCCUUCACUGAGCCGAGGACCGAUUGGAAACAGCCUCUCUGCCCUUCCGGGUAUGGGUAAGGCCCGUCUACAUAUUACCCUCCCCAGACCCCACUUUGUGGGACUAUACUGGGUAGUUGUUGUUGUUGCAGAUAUCAUACUAAUUAGUUGGCGCCACUGUCUCAUAGCUUUUACUUAUGCUUUUGCAGCUUGGAUAUACCAAGAAGCAAGAAGAGCGGCAUUUCCAUGGUGUAAUUACGUUGGAGGUACCAAACUGCCAAUUGGUGUUUUUGAGAUCUGAGUGCUUUUGAUACCUAACAUUCAAUUUUGGACAAGUAAUCUGCAUUUGUCUCUUUUAUAGCUUUAUUAUAAAGCCUUUAGUGAGUUCAUUUUGUUUAUUCAAAUUGUUUCUCUGUUAAGCUUUAUGGGUAGGCCUUGACUAUUAGGUGGUCUCCUUAAUUGGAGGUACUUAAAUACCGAAAGUGUUUUCCAGCUGUUUUGACACUUGUGCACUGCUUCUCGUUUUCAUUUGGUACAUAGAUAUGUUUUCUGGCUUCACUUUGUUUCAUCUAGAUUGUUUCUUUCCAUGUUAAAGUUUAUGUAACAAACUACAAACACCUAUUACACGGCUCUUGCUACUUGUUUCCAGAAAGGUUGUCUUUAGUUGUCAGAAGAAAAAAAAUUACUUUAUGAAAGUUUUUGUGCAUUACAUGUACAGUAGUGUUAGAUCUAGGUGCCACAGCAUGUGCAAAUCAAAUAUUGCUAGAGUCACCUGGCAUAUCAAAGUCCAGAAAAUGAGAUGAGCCCCCUCUAGAGGUAUAUGAGUAACAUUUAGGGUCUGCACCUGUUUAAGCAUCAAGUCUUAUGUGCACAUUGCUUCCUUGAAUAGUAGAUUGAGACACCCCUAUAGAAUUUCCAGAGCAGUAAUAAAAAUGCACAUUAACUUACAGCUGCAAAAAUGGGUUUGAUCAUAGAGUCCAGGUAUCUUCUUUGAAGUUCAGGUAUAAGAACAUUCAAGGGCCAAACAUUGAAGUUCACAACUCUCAAGCUUAUGAAUUAAAAUCGUAGGACCUAUUAGCCUAGUGUUGCUGCACUUGUCAUAACUUUAUAUACAUCUCUCUGCUUUUCUUUCUGGAAAUUGCAUCUAUUGUUUACUGUCAUCUACAUUUCAAGAUUGAAUAUUAUAGUUGUAUUUUUGUCUUUUUAAUCAUGUGCAAGAGCGUCCAGAAUUAUUGAUUUGAAACUCAUGUCUGCUGGGGUUAGAGCUAUCAAGUGAUCCUACUCAAAGGAAGAAUCUGAAGAGAAAAUAGAUCGGGGUUUCCUUUUCGUGUACAGAUUGCAGGGAAUGAGUUCAAAUUUUUUAUUGUUGACUUGGUUUGUCGUGGUCAUUCGCUUCCUGAUAUAUGGAUUAUUUACCUCAUCCUAUUAAUGACUUGGUGCUGUUUAUCCCUGGGUUUGGUAUGUACAAUAUUCCUUGGUUUGUAUGGAGUCUCAACUUAGUUAAUUUACUAUCAUCAAGACAAAAAUCUGUCAAUCUAGUAUGACCCAUCCGAAGUCCCAUAGGUGAUUUAAAUAUCUCGGCGCUCCAGGUAGAAUUAGCAAGUCUUUACGGAACUAUAGCUAAAAGUGUCCUUGAUUUGCUUUUCUUUUUUCCCUUAUAAUUUUGUUAGAGAGGUGGGUGGGUGGUAAAGGAAAAAAUAAUAAAAGGUCAAAUGCAAGAGCGUUAAUCAACUGUGUGGCCACCUAACAGCUUAAGUUGUUCGAGAAUGAACACUUUUAUAUACUACUUAUUUUUUAUACACGUCAUGCUCCUCACGUGGAGGGCUUGGUGCAAGCAUGUUAAGAUAUUUUGUUGACAGUGGGAUUUUUGAACCUAGGAUGCUAUUUUGGUACUGUUGUAAAAGUUUAAACUAUUAGCAAAGAAAUAAUUCUAUUUUGUUAUUUUAGAUCUUCAAUAAGGGCUAAAAGACAAUUCAUGUGCCAGUUUUAGCAGUCAAUAAGGUAGAUCCAUACAGGUCAUAUGGUCCUUAUUGACACGACAUGGGGGGGGGGGGUGUANNNNNNNNNNNNNNNNNNNNNNNNNNNNNNNNNNNNNNNNNNNNNNNNNNNNNNNNNNNNNNNNNNNNNNNNNNNNNNNNNNNNNNNNNNNNNNNNNNNNNNNNNNNNNNNNNNNNNNNNNNNNNNNNNNNNNNNNNNNNNNNNNNNNNNNNNNNNNNNNNNNNNNNNNNNNNNNNNNNNNNNNNNNNNNNNNNNNNNNNNNNNNNNNNNNNNNNNNNNNNNNNNNNNNNNNNNNNNNNNNNNNNNNNNNNNNNNNNNNNNNUGGGGGGGGGGGGUGUAAUAGUCAUUGUUGAUGCGGUGUGUUCUUUGAUGGGUCAUCUAUGAAUCUAUGAUCUCACUUGGCAAACGUAGUUUCAUGUACAUCUAUGUGGUUUAUGUUCUUUGAUUCCUAGGGUACCAGUAGUUGAAUGAGCUUUCUAUCUAAUUACCUGCCACAGUGUUGCAACAAUUUUCAAAACUGCUUUAAGCAUUGUUAAGGGAGAAAUGCCCAAUAAAUAUCUCAUUAUUAUUAUGAUUUUUCGAUUCCUUAGGAUAGUGGAAAUCUUGAAGCAAAAUUCAAUUCUGGUUGGGAAGGAUAUUUCACAGAAGUAAUUCUUGGUACAUAUUCACCGAGAAUUCUGAACAUGAUGCACUGGUCACCACUUUUCGUGACCUUUCACUUUGGGACAUGGGGAGCAGAGAAGAGACGAUUUAAUUGUGCAUGAAAAGGUUAAACUGAAAGACCAUUAAAUGACCCAAAUCAGUAUUUCUUCAUUCUAGAUAUUGCAUUCUAUCUAUUGUUAUUCCUUAAAAACUUACAGUGGAUGGCUGCAUUUUUACAUGGGUUUUGAGUCUAUUAGAGAAGCAGUCUAUUAGAGAAGCAAGCUAUACCUGUAUUUGGCUUCGGUUCUGAUUGUUGUUUUCAAAUUUCAUGAAGAAAUAUAAAUUGUUGUACCGAGUUUGCGGAGCUUAUCAAGUAACAUCAAUCAAUAACUUUACCUCAAUACAAAAUUAGUCUGGGAUGGUUAUAUGAAUCUUCUGUAUUCAUUUCGCUCUAUUUGACCUCAUUUUAUUCCAAAACCAAUUAACCUGUCUUUUAAGGAAAAUUAGAGGUUCUCUAAAGCUAGAAGUUUUCUAAAUCUCACACUUAUCCUCAUUAAUAACAAUUAAGCCUUCAUUCCAAGUAGAUAGUAUCACUUGCAUGAUCUUUUUGCUUCCAUUGUAUCUGUUCUUAGCUAAGACCAUUUUGAAAGAUGGCCGUCUGAAACAAUUUCCCCAUUCCCUUAGCGCCUUCAAUUAUCAUAAUGCUGCACCUACGUACCUACUCAUAUGGAGAUUUAUGUGGGACAUGUCCAAAAACUUCAUCUUAUGUGUGUGCUGUUUCCAUUCAGUUGAAUAUGAUAAUUUGUAAUCUUUUCCAAUCUUGUACGGGGGACUGGCUGCAUAUCCAUCUUAAUACUAACAUUUCUAUUACAUUCAUCUUGUGGGUAUGUUGUGCCUUUAGUUUAUAGUGUAACAUGCUAUCCAAAACUUUCAGGAAUGUAAUCUUGAAGAGGUUUCUGAAGAAGAUGAAGGAUCAUCGAAAAGUUUAAAGGACAAAAAGGCAAAUGGACCUGAUGGAGGAAAAGGACCUAGUCUCUUGUUCAAAUUAACAAGCAGGGUUCAAUAUAAGACUGUUCUUAAAGGUGGUGCAUUCCUACACUCUUUGUAAGGGGAUUAUAUGGUUUCUUCUUUCAUUUUUUUACAACUAAGUUAUGCUAUAUUGCAGCCCAAAGUGCUGUUAUUUUGAAGGCAGAAAGUUUGGCUGAGAAGAAUGAAUGGAUAAACAAAUUGAAAAAUGUCAUAAGUUCUAAAGGAGGUCAGGUUAUUGCUGAUUCUGGUCCACCUGUGAGGCAAAGUUUAUCUGAGGGGUCACUUGUAAGUAGCAAAAUACGGUUUUACUCGCACAAAUUCUUUUGCUAGUUCGGUCUAUAAUUGUUCCUUCAAUUUACUUCAGCAGAAAAAAACUUCUGCACUUCAUUACCACCAUUGUUUUCAAAUGUUUUUACUGCACAGCUGAUUUUUAGUGCCAGAAGUAUUCUUCUUGUUUUACCUAUAAGGAAUCUCUUCAAAUUUUGACUUCUUGAUUUGAGAUCAUUUAAUUUGUACGCCAGCAUUUUAUGGAAUAUUUCUCUUUCCACAAUCUCUGUUUUCAAAUAUGUUACAUUUCAAAUGCUUGGAUCAUUUUCUAUUUAGGACAAGAUGACUAGGAAACCUGCAGAUCCAGAAGAAGAACUCCGUUGGAUGGCUCAAGAAGUACGUGGUUAUGUUGAAGCUGUUCUCAACAGCCUUGCUGCUAAUGUACCGAAGGUCAGUUUAAGGUCAUUGUUAUGCCCUUCAUUUUUGUUCCCCAUACCCUGUUUAACUUUAAUUGGUUUUUCAGGCAGUUGUUCUUUGCCAAGUAGAAAACGCCAGAGAGGAUAUGCUUAAUAAGUUGUACAGUUCUGUCAGGUUAGCAGCAGCUGUAUUUGCUUUUCAGGAAUCAUGGAUAUUAGGAACUCUGAUUUUGACCAAAUAUAUACACUGAGGAUGUUUUAUAUAAGAAACCAAUCUCACAAAUUUUACUUCUACUUGAAACUAAUCAAUCCAGAAUAUCUCUGGCAUAUGAAAAGUGUCAUGCAUACAACCUUGUGGUCUUAACAAAAGUUUCUUUAUUGUUUAUCAUCUUUGCUUCUUUCUAAUUGUCUUCUGACUAUCAUCUACGUAUCAAAUUUUGACUGUAGUGCGCAAAGUAGAACAAGGAUCGAAGAGCUACUCCUCGAAGACCAGAAUGCGAAGCGUAGGAGGGAACACUAUCAGAAACAAUCCUCUCUUCUUGCUAUGGUCACUCAGCAGCUUAGUGUUCAUGAUAGUCGAGCAGCUGCUGUGUCUAGCUACUCAGAUAGUGAUGGAGCUGGUAUUUGGCAAAUCCUUUGAUAGCUUUUUAGUUGAAGCCUUAAUCUUCAAUUCUUUUACAGUUUUCCAUCAUUUUAAUGUUGCCAUCUUAAAGUAUCAAAACGAACUCCUGUAGUAAAAUAUAUGGCCUCCAUAAAAAUAAAAAUAAAAAUAAAAAUGGAUUCCUGACAGAGCACAUGUAUUCUCAUAUGAGUUGAAUGACUGCUCUCAAAUAGUAUUGCUGAUGCAAAAUAUAAAGGAACAUGAAAUUCCAAUGAUGUGUCAUCUGGUGAACUAUGUUGGAUAUCAAUGCCUGAAGUUAUACGGAAUUAAAGUGGUUGACACUUGCCCGGAGAAACUUAAGAAAGUAUAUUAUUGAGAAAUGCACUAGAAUACGGAUGAAAUUUAGUUUCACGGGACUGCAAUUCAAUAAAAGAUAGGUCUAGUGAACCUGGGACACAAACCGAGUCAAUACUGCAAGCUGAUGUAGCUGUCUUCUAAUUUUUCGGGCUUUUAAAUAACAAAGGCAGAAGAAAUGCAGUGCAGUGAAGUAUUUAGAUUUUAGACUUUUUACACUGUGAAAGUUAACAUGGUUGAAGCAUCAGUAAUUUGCAAACUUGUCAAUGAAUAAGCAGGCAUAAGAGAAGUAGCUGAAACUUAGAGAGCCUCGAACUUAUUGUUUAUGAUCCUUUUAUUAACAAUCAAUACACAUGAAGUGCUUUCUACAAACUUAGUCUAUCAUCAACAUUCUAUUAUAUUGACAUUUGCAGAAAGCACCCCAAGAUCUGGAGGACAGUCAUCAGGUGAUGAUUGGAGAUCCGCAUUUGAUGCUGUGAAUGGCGCCCAAAAUGGUGAUGCAGGGUCUAGAAAUCGACGAACACCUAGCCGGCUGCCACCUGCACCUCCUGGUUCUGGAUUUAGAUCCUAGGCAUUUGAUUCAAAUUCUUGGCAGCUGAGAAGGUUUUGGUUCCUGUUCUCUUCUUGGACUCUUGACGUGCUCGGAUUUUGUCACGAGAUCUUUGUAUAAAUAGCUUUUACAUUUUUAGGUAAAGUUUAGCGGUCUCCCUUCUCAACAAAGAAAAAGUUUUCCAGUUGCUGCUUGAUCCUAACUACCCAUAGCUUUCAAAUUUAGGAAUUUCAGGACAAUUUUCAUGUAUAAUUUUGUUGGGUGGGACAAGAGGGGUUGCUCUGAUGGUAAGCAACCCCCACUUCCAACCGAGAGGUUGUGAGUUCGAGUUUUCCCAAGAGCAAGGUGGUAAGUUCAUGGAGGGAAGGAUGCCGGGGGUCUAUUUGGAAACAGCCUCUCUACCCCAGGGUAGGGGUAAGGUCUGCGUACACACUACCCUCCCCGGAGCCCACUAAGUGGGAUUAUACUGGAUUGUUGUUGUUGUUGUUGUAAUCCUGUUGGGUGGGUGGGUAUUUACUGUUGGUUGAGCUUCAGCUAGGCUUAAGUUUUGACAAGGUUGCUUGGGAAAGUUGGUGAAACAACUCUGCCGUAGAUAAUACCUUGAUUUAUAACCUUAUUUGAUACUAUCAGAUUGCAGUUGCAUCCUUAGAAUUUGACCUUUAGCUUUAAACUUACCAUACCUUUCUCCAGCAUGGUUGAUCAAAUAUCAGGAUAUAAGUUUUGAAGUGAGAUUUUUUAUCACAGUUAUAAUUACAACAACAACCCAGUAUAAUCUCACUUAGUGGAGUCUGGGGAGGGUAGUGUGUACGCAGACCNNNNNNNNNNNNNNNNNNNNNNNNNNNNNNNNNNNNNNNNNNNNNNNNNNNNNNNNNNNNNNNNNNNNNNNNGAGAGGUUGUUUCCAAAAUAGACCCCCGGCAUCCUUCCCUCCAAGAACUUCUCACCUUGCUCUUGGGGAGACUCGAACUCACAACCUCUUGGGGAGACUCGAAAUCACAGUUAUAAUUAAAUCAUUAUAUUCUUCUCAUAUCAUAGCUUUUUAUGAUUUGCCCAAAUUUUGAGCGAUUGCAAUUUGCUACUGCUGUGCUGGAUCAUCUAGUCUCUUGCUCUCUUUUAUUUGAGGUGCAGACAAAGAUAUUCCCAGAAACUGUAAUUUAUAUACGGCUAACGAAAUUAUUUAAUGCAUGAAGACAUGGUCACUUUGUGGUGCUUUUAUAAUUGGUAGUUGUAUUUAAGCACGAGCAACCAGGAAAGAAAAACUCAAAAAUGUUAAAUACUUGGGCAAAUUAACCUCAAAAUGCAAUGUCGUCUCUCUAAUACUGAUCUUUUCAUAAAUGAAUACGGUAAUAAUUCAUCUGUUAAACUCCCAAACAAGAUAAAUAGUGUAAGUAGAACUUAUGGUGUAUGUGUAUGACUAAGGUUCUGAAGAACUAUUCUACAAAGGAUGAACAUUGAUCAUUUUUCUGUACAUGGCUAAGAUUCUUACAGCAUUCUGAUUGGAUAUUUACAGUUUCUCCAAAUUCGGUCAUUGAAUAUCGGUGAAUAUGCUGCAGAACAGCUUGAAUUGAUCUAUUCUGUCCCUGGAAGAUGAUUAUGCCACUCUGAUUGGUGAACUAUAAGUUUUGAGAACCUUUCAACAGGGAACAGCUGGCGACUUAUAAACGUUGAAUGUUAAACACGUAUCAACUCCAUACAUUCUUCUUGAAGGGACCAUCAUCCUGUAAUAAUUUCAUAACAAGUUUGACCUGUAGAAAAAUGCAAGCAGACAGAUUAGUUAAAACUCCCCAAAGUUGCAGUACCCAUAUUGAAGUGUUCCAUCUUCUAAAAUUUGGUAGCAACAUAACAUCUUUUAUUUCAUCAGCACAUAAAGAUAGUAUUUAACCGAUUAUAUAGAGAUUUUUGUAUAACAAUCCAAACUAGGCUACGGCUGGAGGAAUUUUGGAGGGGAAGAAAGACAACAAAACAAACUUCAGACUAAUGGGGAAUGUUGUUUGGACAAUUCGAAAAUGUCGCCGGGUACAUGUCAGAUCCUCCAAAAGUAGUGUAUUUUUGGAGGAUCCGAUGUGGGUGCAGCAACAUAUUGGAGAGUCCACGCAACAUAGCUAACGGAGAGAGUCCAUUAAAGAGUACCCACAUGGAUCUGUUGUCAGACUCUUUCAUCUGAUAUAUUCCCAGGAUUAUAUGACAAGGGAAGAGAAACUAAUUAUAGGAGUUCCCCAGAGAAAAGCAUAUUGACCACUAAAUUUUUACCCGUCAACCACGAUAAGUAGUGUUUCGUAAUUGAUUUACAGACUCAUAUCUUGAUGAAGAGCUUCACAGCCUUGGGACUGCAGCAGAGCUCUUUAUGUAGUCCUUCAAAUCCAACCUUGGCAGAUUUAUCUGGACGAUACCUUCUCUGUGAAAGAUGACCCAAGAUGGUCAGUUCACAUAAUAUGAGGCUACAAGCUGGUCGGAAUUAUAUAGCACCUAUUGGCUUAAAAGGACAGGAAAUUAUAUUGACACUAAGAAUGUGCCUUCCAGGCUUCCUGGAUCUUCGGUUGGGGAAAGAAGUCUUAUACAGCUAUGCAAUUCUAUUUUUCUAUGUUCAAGACAACCUUAUGACCUUGUCAUUUAGGUGCUUCUGCUCAUAAAAUAUGUCCUCAUCUAUUUAUGUGAAGAUACGUUUUUAUUUUCUAAGUUUCCUUUGAGAAGAAAAAUUCUCUCUACAAAAAGGUAACUAUCACCUGAGCAGAUUCUCGUACCAAGAAAUCAUCAAAGACUCGCCUAAAAUCCUCAUCUAGAACAUAGUGACAGCUGUAAGUAGUCACUGAGCAUAUAUCCCCUCUGAAUUUUGUGUUCACCCUGAGCACCAGCCUCUACUGUGCCAAGAUUAAGUUCAAUUGCCGCUUCUAUGGCCUGAGAAGUAGAUCAAGAGAAAUUAGAUUCAAUUUUCAAGAAACAUUUAAGACUUAGGGUGUGUUUGGUAUAAAGGAAAAUGUUUUUCAAGAAAAUAUUUUCUUCAUUUUUCGGUGUUUGGUAUGCAAAUUAAGGAAAAUGACUUUUCAAAAGUAUUUAUAAAUAAUUUAGAUAUAAUAAAUAUGUAGCCAUAAACUUUCAAACCGACAACCUUCCGGACCCACAAAUUUUAUAAACUUUCGAAUCGCUAAAGUUUCAAAACCGCCGAAUUUCGAACCCAUAAACUUUAUAAUUUCUAAACCCAUAAACUUCCAAAUACAUAAACCUUCGAACUUAUAAUUUUGGUACUUGUAAAAUUUUGAGCUUUUAAACUGAUAAAUAAUAAAUUAAAAUUGAAAAAUAUAUUUAAAUUUUUUUUUUCCGGAGGGGUUGGGGUGGGUGGUGCAGAAAAAUGAAGAAUGGGUGGAGGGGGUAGUAGGGUGAGUGUUAAUGGAAUAACUGGAAUUAAAAAAAAAAAAUUGGAGAGGGGGUAGGGUUGGGGAAGGUUGAUAACAAACUUUGGAAAAUAUUUUCCCUCUCUUGAUAAGGAAAACAUUUUCCUCCAAUUGAAGGAAAAUGAAUUGAUAAUGAAAAUGUUUUCCAAAACAUUUAAGCCAACCAAACAUGAGAAAAUUGAAAAACAUUUUCCGAAAAAUAUUUUCUUUCAUACCAAACAAGCCCUUAGAGGAGCCUGAUUUACUUCUGAACCACUACAAGCUAAUUCUUGAAACAUACGAGUUUCUGCAAUCAAUACUGCAAUCAAACUGAAAUUCUACACUAUGAAAAACACAACUAGCUAUCUCUGUGGAUACUGUUGUCAUAAGUUAAGAAAACCUGCAUGCAGCAAGACACAUUCUUUUCUUUCUUCUAAUUGAUGGUUCAAAAUACCUGGUAGUAACAUGCUUCAAAAUGCAAAUUCGCAUAGUAGGCUCCUGGAAGACAUCCCCAUAGUCGUCCAUACAAGGUAUCUCCUCCAAUAAGAUUAAGGGCUGCAGCUACAAGCUCAUCACCUUCUUCAGCAACAACAAGCAGUACAUUGUCACCCAUCCUUGCACCCAUUUGAUGGAAAAAAUCUCUCGUUAAAUAAGCAGUACCCCACCUAAAGAGACAGCGAAUGCAGAUUAGAUAAUGCACGCACUAAAAUACAGCUGUAAAGUACACGAAGUAGAAUAAUUUAGCUGACUAAAGUUUAGUUAAGAUAGUACUUAUGGUCCAAAGAAAGAACUCCUACUUGUUGUCGGUUGUGUUUCUGUAGAACUUAUAAAACGUGUCUCAAUGGCUAGCCUGUCCGUACAAUAGACAAACAUGAAAUGAGAAUUUCAAUCUUAUUCACAGACAUAAUUGUAGCUGCACGUGACAGGGGGUUCAUGUGCCUUAAAACAAGAAAUCAGCCGUUCACAUAAAAAACAUAAUUAGUUUGAUGGGGAAGUUGGGUGGAGGGGAGUCCAGCUGUAAAGGGCCUCAGUGUUCACAAUGUGAUUUAAAAGUGCCGAGCAGAUUACACCAGGCCAUCACAGAAAGAUAGAGAUAAAUGAUAUGCACACUAUAUUUAAUCCUUUAGGCAAAGGACAAUAGUAGACAUGAUCACAAUCAGGUAAUUUAUCCCAACGAAAAGAAUAAGUAAAAACAUUAACAUAUGAACAGAUCAGGUUAGUAAAGGUACUGAUCCUUAUUUUUAUUUUGAGUAUUUGCACAACUAGUCUAUUUAUGUUUAGAAAAUAAAAUUUAAACACCACAUACUGAAAAGAGAAGCUACAAAACACAAAUAGCAGUUCCAAAAAAGUCACCUAAGCUCAAAUAACUAAUAAAAUGGGAAGUCAAAAGCUUCAAAAACACACCUUGAUUUCAUAUCCUCUUAAGCGUUUCAUGGUCACGUUUUGAGCUGAUAUCUGAAAUAAGAAAAGAUCUUAUCAGUAUUUUGCAAAUUUGAAGACAUUGAGAAGCGAGAGGAGGUAGAAGCGCUAUUUAGCUAAUUAUGAAACUAAAAGGAAAUAUUAUACUCCUCUAAGAAAAAUCUUGAUGUAAUAGUAGAAAUAAGCAAGAACACAGGAUGAAGAAAAGAUAGCACUGCAGCAAUAUGCAACAUGCCAAUAGCCAUACAGCCAUGGCAAUAAAGCGACGGUGCAGAUGCCGCACAACUAAAUAAACAAUAGCAAAACCUUGUUUAUACAACAGUAAUAGAUUUGUUCUUGAUUUUAAGUGAGUCAAUAUGAACAUGCUCCUAGUAGGAUUGAAUUAAUUUAGAUUUAAGACCAAAGUGCUCCAGUCAUUUAUUUUUCUGAAGCAGGGAACUUUAUACGUUCGUGUACCGCAGACGGGUUCUCUGCAAUAUAUUCUAACGAACUGCUUUAUGAUACGAGUUUCAGCAUGGGCAUGUGUGACUAAGGCAUGUCUAAUUGUUAUUAUACACCACGUUCACUUUUAAAUUAGAUCUUUUAGAUUCAAAUUCUAUUCUUUUUACAGCCUCUUUUAGAGAAUCUUCUACAGCUAUUGACUGGCCAAGCAAUUUUCAAGGAAAAGGAACAACUAAUUCUACAAACCUUCUUGCGUUCUUGACGAAUGUUCUUCCUCUUACUCUGCUUCAUGUCCAUCAAAAACUCAUCAAAGCUGAACAUUGCAAAAACAAACUUAUAACAAUCAAGAAGAAAAAAAAUUCAUUAACAUGAUGUAGUGGUGCCCUUGUACAAGAACAAAGGGGACAUUCAGUGCUGCAACAACUAUAGGGGUAUCANNNNNNNNNNNNNNNNNNNNNNNNNNNNNNNNNNNNNNNNNNNNNNNNNNNNNNNNNNNNNNNNNNNNNNNNNNNNNNNNNNNNNNNNNNNNNNNNNNNNGUGCUGCAACAACUAUAGGGGUAUCAAAUUAAUAAGUCACACCAUGAAGAUAUAGGAGUGGGUGAUCGAGGUGAGUGUGAGAGAGAUGACUUCUAUAUCUGUGAACCAGUUCGGUUUCAUGUCGGGUCGCUCCACUACAGAAGCUAUUCACCUUGUCAGGAGGCUGGUGGAGCAGUUCCGGGAUAAGAAGAAGGACAUGCACAUGGUGCUUAUCGACUUGGAGAAAACGUAUGACAAGGUCCCAAGGGAGGUGCUGUGGAGGUUCUUGGAGUGGAAGAGCGUGCCGGAAGCCUACAUCAGAGUAAUCAAGGACAUGUACGACGGAGCUAAGACUAGNNNNNNNNNNNNNNNNNNNNNNNNNNNNNNNNNNNNNNNNNNNNNNNNNNNNNNNNNNNNNNNNNNNNNNNNNNNNNNNNNNNNNNNNNNNNNNNNNNNNNNNNNNNNNNNNNNNNNNNNNNNNNNNNNNNNNNNNNNNNNNNNNNNNNNNNNNNNNNNNNNNNNNNNNNNNNNNNNNNNNNNNNNNNNNNNNNNNNNNNNNNNUUGGAUGCUCUAACCCGUCAUAUUCAAGGAGAUAUGCCUUGGUGUAUGCUAUUUGAUGACAUAGUCUUGAUAGACGAGACGAGGGUCGGUGUAAUUGAGAGGUUAGAGGUAUGGAGACAGACUCUCGAGUCCAAGGGUUUCAAAAUAUGCAGAUCUAAGAAAGAAUACAUGGAGUGUAAGUUUAGCGCCGGGCCGAGCGAAGUAGGCAUGGACGUGAUGAUUGGAGCUCAGGUCAUCGCCAAGAGGGACAAUGUCAGAUAUCUUGGGUCGGUGAUUCAGGGGGACGGAGAGAUUGACGGGGACGUCACUCAUCGUAUAUGAACGGGGUGGUCGAAGUGGAGGCUUGCAUCGGGAGUCCUGUGUGACAAGAAAGUUUCACAGAAACUCAAGGGGAAAUUUUAUAGAGUUAUGGUCAGACCUGCCAUGUUGUAUGGGCGUUGGCCAGUGAAAAACUCUCAUGUUCAGAGAAUGAAGGUUGCGGAGAUGAAUAUGCUCAGGUGGAUGUGCGGGCUCACCAGGUUAUAUAAGAUUAAGAAUGAAGUUAUUCGAGAAAAGGUGGGGGUGACCCCGGUGGACGAGAAGAUGCGAGAAGCGAGGCUGAGGUGGUUCCGCCAUGUGCGGAGGAGAAGUCCUGAUGCCCCGGUGAGGAGUUGUGAGAGGCUUGCGAUGGUCGGCGUACGGCGAGGCAGAGGGAGGCCUAAGAGGUACUGGGGAGAGGUGAUUAGGCAUAACAUGGCUAGAAUGCAGGUUUCCGAGGACAUGGCCCUUGAUAGGAAAGUCUGGAGGUCUAGUAUCAGGGUCGUUGGAUAGGGGCUCCUAGAGUUUUUCGUACUCCUCACCCGGGGUUGGGUGAGGCUUGGCAGGGCUAUCCAUAGAUGAUUUUUUUUUUAGUUUUUCGUACUCCUCACUGAGGGUUGGGUGAGGCUUGGCAGAGCUAUCCAUAGAUGAUUUGUGUCUUGGACUGUGUCUCUCUUAUGGUAGUUAUUUAUGGUAGUUACGGUCGGAU